Perca fluviatilis (European perch) is the source of this 2213-nucleotide long non-coding RNA. RefSeq lists it as uncharacterized. The transcript has 2 exons. NCBI's taxonomy places the organism in Eukaryota, Metazoa, Chordata, Actinopteri, Perciformes, Percidae. The record is from RefSeq and is a predicted model, not a curated record.
ACAGCCAGGCCCUGGCCUCUGACCAGGGGCCAUCCACAUCAACACUGCUUACACUCCACCAUACCUCCCAGCUACUGGCCCAGCCAACCAGCUCUAUACACACACUGAGGCAGACAGGGAGAGGAACAAGGCUGGAGAAAUGAAGACUGCGAAAAUGUGAGCGUGUGUGUGUGCGUGUGCAUGCAUGUGUGCGUGCGUGCAUGUGUGUGUGUGUGUGUGUGUGUGUGUGUGUGUGUGUGUGUGUGCAUGCAUGCGUGCGUGUGUGUGUGUGUGUAUAGGUGGGCGGAUGCCGAUGAGGGCAAGGAGCAACGAAGAGGAGAAAGAAAUAAAGAUAGAAAUGGAGUCAGAGAAUUCAGCCCCAUGAAAGAAGACAGAAGAAUAAAAGACAGGCUAAGGAGAAGACAAGGCCUCAGCUGUGCGCCGCACUGAUCUACACACUGUGAUUACCUGGAGCAGAAAACCGAAUGUAAAGGCCUUGGGCUGGCUUUGAUAUUUCCAUCGUUUGUUUGUCUGCUAUGACCUGGACUACAUUUAACAGACCUAGACUGGAGGUCAGUAGGAAUCAAGGGAUGGCCAAGCACAUACAGGGUUUUCCUCUCCUUCUCUAUUAAACUCUCACCAACACUCAUUAUAGUUACCUUUUGUCUAGUAUUUGUUGCCAUUACAUAGUCUAGGCACAACUAGAGACCACUCAAUAAUCAAGGUGUUGUUGGAUAAUGGCAGAAACAAAUGAGAAGUAUUAAGUUGAGUAUAUGUCUGGUAAUACAGAAUAAGGAUGUCUUUUGUCUUGGCUGGCAUUCUUUUCUAAGACAGUGACUUGCAGAUGGGGGUGGUAGCUGAAAGGUGUCCUCCAAUUAUCAAGGUAUUACACUGCUAAAACUAUAAGCAUGCACUAUGGGAGCCUAAGAGGAGACAACGCUUCAUUAGAGACAAGAAUAGAGUUUUUUUUAUUAUUAUUAUUGUUAUUAUUAUUAUUAUUAUUAUUAUUAUUAUUAUUAUUAUUAUUAUUAUUAUUAUUAUUAUUAUUAAGGUAUUGAGUAACUAUUUCUUUAAAGUUUUAAACUUUCCAGCACAACCUGCUCUGAUUACCCUGGGUUUACCAAUAUAACUAAGUGGUUUAUAUGAAGGAGGCAGGAUUGGUAAUUACAAGCCAAUAAUCACCGUUUACUACCGAAGCUGCAGAGUAACACUGAAUAUAAAAGAAAAUUGAUUAAUGCUUAAUAAGGUGACCAAAUGUGGAGCUUAGCUAUGUACUAUUCAAUAAAGCAAAAAAUGAGUGUCAGUAUGGAUGGCCCAAUUGUUUCUCUGCAGUGCACCACUCUCCCAAUCAUGAAGAGAUCACAGCUAAGUUGUGAAACAUUAUAUCAUGCAUACCAAAUAUCAGUAGCACAUUUUGAUCACUGAAGUCAGCCACAACUGCCUGAAACUGUCUUCAACAUGCUCCUGUGAAACAAUCAGUUGAUUAAUUAGUUAGUCAAUCGACAAAAAAUAUGAUAAUAAUCAUAAUGGAAAAAGUCAUUUUUCAAGCAAAAGUGUCUUCUCAAUUGCCAAGAUAUUUUUCUUUUCCUUAACUUAUGUGAUGGUAAACUGAAAAUCACCAAACCAUCAAUUAAUAUGAGUAAUUUUUGGCGGCAGCCCUUCUUAGUUUAUGGAUAUUUUUGUAGGAGAUUUUCUAUUGACAAAGGCAGGUCAUGCUCUCCUGAGCCAGUGAUCCUAUCCAGUGAUAGUAUAAGAGUGCUAUUACUAUUAUAAGAGAAGUAUUUUUACACAGAUUUUUUGAUGGUUUUUGGUUCAGUCAGAUGUCAAAUCCAAUGGUGCAAAAUGUUGCUUUUGUCAGUGAAUUUUCAUACUUAUAUUGUAUUAGUGGGUUUAUAAAGUUAGCAAAUAAGAACUAAUCAGGUAGUAUUCUUUUAAAAAUAAAAGUAUUUUAUAGCAAAAACAGGCACACAGCAAAAAUUCUGGUGUUGGUAAUCAUCUGUGCUUAUAUCACGACUAACUAACUGAACCAACUAUAGAUGACAUGGCAGAAAAUGCUGUUUGAAACAUUGUUUACUAUAGUCUACAUCUAAAUAUUGUACAGAACUUGGAAGCUCUGUAAAACAGUAUUUAUUUUUGAAUGUGUGUCUGUAUAAGUGCUUAUAAGUAUCCUUAAUGUUAUGUUGCUUUAUCCCUCUAAGAUGUGAAAAUGAAAUAAAAACUAGUCACAAAAAUGA